Molecule: ribosomal RNA, 346 nt
Filed under: uncultured Bilophila sp.
Lineage: Bacteria; Pseudomonadati; Thermodesulfobacteriota; Desulfovibrionia; Desulfovibrionales; Desulfovibrionaceae
Description: bacterial SSU rRNA
Rfam family: Bacterial small subunit ribosomal RNA
Source: RNAcentral
UGGGGAAUAUUGCGCAAUGGGCGAAAGCCUGACGCAGCGACGCCGCGUGAGGGAUGAAGGUUCUCGGAUCGUAAACCUCUGUCAGGGGGGAAGAAACCCCCUCGUGUGAAUAAUGCGAGGGCUUGACGGUACCCCCAAAGGAGCACCGGCUAACUCCGUGCCAGCAGCCGCGGUAAUACGGAGGGUGCAAGCGUUAAUCGGAAUCACUGGGCGUAAAGCGCACGUAGGCGGCUUGGUAAGUCAGGGGUGAAACCCCACAGCCCAACUGUGGAACUGCCUUUGAUACUGCCAGGCUUGAGUACCGGAGAGGGUGGCGGAAUUCCAGGUGUAGGAGUGAAAUCCGUAG